RNAcentral lists this ribosomal RNA (235 nucleotides) under uncultured bacterium. RNAcentral describes it as "partial 16S ribosomal RNA". It matches the Rfam family "Bacterial small subunit ribosomal RNA", at positions 99 to 334 of the family's 1533-position model. The record is from RNAcentral.
CGCACGGGUGAGUAACACGUAUCCAACCUGCCGUCUACUCUUGGACAGCCUUCUGAAAGGAAGAUUAAUACAAGAUGGCAUCAUGAGUCCGCAUGUCCACAUGAUUAAAGGUAUUCCGGUAGACGAUGGGGAUGCGUUCCAUUAGAUAGUAGGCGGGGUAACGGCCCACCUAGUCUUCGAUGGAUAGGGGUUCUGAGAGGAAGGUCCCCCACAUUGGAACUGAGACACGGUCCAA